Molecule: long non-coding RNA, 2023 nt
Organism: Bos taurus (domestic cattle)
Lineage: Eukaryota; Metazoa; Chordata; Mammalia; Artiodactyla; Bovidae
Source: Ensembl
AUCUGGUCCAUGAAAUGUGUGCUCUUCCCCAUCAAGUGGUUUCACUAAAGUGGUGGAAUUGGGCCCAGACCUUGGCUUGUUUACUACCUGAGCCUAUCUGCUGCCAAACUGGUCUGCAUGUGUCUACUUGUCUUCCCUGGAGAUCCCCCAUCAGAGAACUUGUCACCCUGAGGUGAAGUUUUGAAGUCUCCCUCUCUAUGUGAUGUUUUGAAGUCUCCUGUUUUCAGUAAGGCUUGGAGUUUUCACACAAAUGGAUACAAAUCUGUCUAAUUCUCUUAUCCUUGUCCAUGCGGUUCCUUGGAAGAACUGUGCCAUAGGUUCAAAAUGGUGCCCUUACCAUGGUCCAAGAUUCUCCAUCAUACUGGAAAUCCAAAGAGGUGACUGGUACCAAAGACAUAAAUGAAAGGCAGGAAAGGACAGAAGAUGAUAACCAUCAGCAGAUGCACAGAAGCCACAGAGUGCCAGCAUCACCACAGAGUAAUUUAUGAUGAAAAACAGAAUGAAGCCAAAAGCCAAAUCUCAGAGGUGUUCCAAGAAAAUCGCCUGUGAACCAGGAGUGAGAGCUGAGAGUAAGAACCACAGACAAAGUGGGCAACGCCCUGGACUUGACCAUGGUAAACCACAGAAGAGCAAAAUCAGGGCCAAGCACCGGGCCCAAAGAUAAACAAAGGUAAAGCAGGGUCAGAGUUCAGAAGAGGCUGGUGAUGCAGAGGGGUCAGGAGCUGGGAUGGGUAAUAGGAGAACUGUGGAACAUGGGCAUCGCAGCCACCCUAGAGUGUCUGUUGCCCCCUGCUUCAGAACUCCACCUGGGGAGGUUAUAAAAAACACAGGUAACAGGACCCAAUUCCAUAUUCAUACACUCAGCAUCUCCUGGAGGUUGGAACCAGGUAUAUGCAUUUUUAAUAUGUUCUCAGAUGGUUCUGAAGCUCCUUAGAGUAUGAGAAAUGUAGAUAAGGGGACAUUCCCACAGCCUCUUAGAUAGACCACCAGUCCCUAGGUUCAACAUUAGCUCAUAGGAUCAAUCUUCAUCGGGGGCAUGCAGGUCCUGCCAGCAAGCUUUGAUAAACACAGACUCUGAGCUUGUAGGGCUGGAGAGGGAGCUAUGACAGCAGCGCCUCCUAGCGCCUACUAGUCAUGGAGCACCCACCCCAUGCCAUGCUUUCCUGGCAUUGCUACAUUUAAUGCUUACUUAUGAGGAGAGUCCCAUGAUCAGUCCCACUUUAUAGAUGAUGAAGCUGAGACUAACAGAAGCAAAGCAGUGUAUCCUGGGCCUCCUGGAGCAGCUUCAGGUUCUGGGCCGGUUUGACUCCAAGACUCUUUGCAUACACCGAGGUGUUACAAAAUGUUUCAGACAUCGUUUUAAAAAGUUGGGGGAAGAAAAAUGUGGAAGAUCAAAGAGGAGGUUGCAGUAUUAGUUGAUGGUGAGUCUUUGGUUAAUGUAAAAAAAUGUUUUUCACAGCAAGCCUAAGGCAUUAAUGGGGAAGCAAGACUCUGCUGUCUUUUCUUGAUCCUCCAGCCAGAGGUAUUAUCAAGUUACAUAAUCUCUCUUUUUUUUUAAUCUCAGUGAAGAAGCGUCUGAGAUUAAGUUUGGGAAGAGAUUGAAAAUCAAAGUUCAGAGGAAUAGAUUAAAAUGAUGCAAAGGCAUCCUGAAUCACGAGGGGAAAAAAUGACAGGACUUUGUUGAUGGAGCUGCUGAAGGAAGAUAAGACACUGAAGGCAUCUCAGAGGGAAAAGGGGCCUGGGUUGGGAAAGAGAACCGAGCAGAAGGAAGAGAUAACCGGGUGGAGAGCAGAGAUAAGAGGCAGGGUGAGGCAAGGCCAGGGAGGAAGACCAGACUGGAUUUUCUAGUCUGGAGUCUGUCCGGGACUCUGCCUUUCUUUCUUGUUUGUCUCUCAGAAUAUAUCUUAAAAGGGAGGAAGGAGGCCAUCUUUGUAGUAUAUUUGUACUAUAUCUUAAAUGUUCAAUUCUGAUACUCGGUCUCUGUGCCUGAAAACAUAGUCACAUUUGCUGGUAAAUCUAAACU